UACGUAGGUGGCAAGCGUUGUUCGGAAUAACUGGGCGUAAAGGAUGCGUAGGCGGUUAAACAAGUUAUAUGUUAAAUAUAUAGGCUUAACCUGUAGAAAGCAUAUAAAACUGUUUAACUAGAGUGCAGGAGAGGUAAGUGGAAUUCCUAGUGUAGCGGUGAAAUGCGUAGAGAUUAGGAAGAACACCAGUGGCGAAGGCGACUUACUGGACUGUAACUGGCGCUGAGGCAUGAGAGCAUGGGGAGCAAACAGG
Molecule: ribosomal RNA, 253 nt
Filed under: uncultured bacterium
Lineage: Bacteria
Description: partial 16S ribosomal RNA
Rfam family: Bacterial small subunit ribosomal RNA
Source: RNAcentral